CAACCUUGGGCAAUUAUUAAAGAAAGGAUUAACUACACUUCAAUCCUUAGAAGUUUAGGAUCAGUAUCGAAAUGGGCUCCAAAAUUUCAAUUUCAUCAAUUUUAUACCCAAUGUAUUUAAAUAUGACCAAUUCAUCCCAUCCGUUAAAUUGACCGUCUAGUCAAAUGUUAAAUGUUGAUGUGUCCACUAUAGGACUCACCUACUAUUCAAUUCGCAAAAUAUAUAUAUAUAUAUAUAUAUAAAAUAUCAUAAAAUUUAAAAAUAAAAAAAGCUUGAAAAACCCAACUCCUCAACCCCCGCCAAUUCCCCACCGCUUCUCGCACUAACCCCAGCCCCCUCCCUCUUUCUCUGCACAACCACAAGCCAUGAAAAAACUAGAAAUAUACCAAUGACAGUCUCAAGCCAGCUCCUUUCUUCACUGGUGGAACAAAUCCCCCUCAAUUCAGCACACGUUCUCAAGUUUUAGUUCCAUGUAGAUGAUUCCCAGCAUGUGGAGGUAUUCCAAACCACCAGAACUUCUGUAGCAUAAAACAUGGAAAUAGAGGUCCUAGUUAAAUUUGAUUGUAUUCUUUUUUUGAAAAUAAAAAAUUAAAUAAAAGGAAAAUUAUGCAAUUCAAUAUCUGAGAAAAAUGGAGGAAUAUUCAAAAUUUUCGAUCUUGGCUCUGUAAGCCUUCUGAUUCAACGCUAGAGCCUUUCUUGUCUAUGAAUUUCAGGGCCUAAAAGCACAAGGAAGACGAACGCCUGCAAUCCUAAUGGGCGGGACUGGAACCAGUGCAAGAAGGGGUUGUGAUGGGGCCGUUGGGUUGUUAGGUAGGGAAGAGGCUGGGUUUUUUUUAAGGUUCUUCUCGCAAUCCCGAUGAGUAGAACUGGAACCGAUGCCUCUAAGGGUGCAGAGAUAGAUGGUGUCGAUGUCGCCGGCGCUGAUGCGGAGGAGGAAUGGGGCUAGGGUUUGAGUGAGAAGGGGUGGGGGUGGUGAAGGCGUUGGGUCAUACCUGACCCACUCUUUAUUUCUCUAUUUCUCUUCCUCCCUCUCCCCCUCUCUUCGUCAUCCCCUUCCUCCUCCCUCUAUUUCUCUCCUUUUGCGGAUCAGUUUGAUUGGAUUGGACAAAUUAGGUUUUUUAGGUUCGGGUAAUUACAGAUUUGGAGCAACAACUUAUAAGGCUAGUGAGUUAUUUGGUUUUGAUUGUGAGGUCAAUCUUGUCUUGGAUGUUUGAUCGUGUUUUGGGUUGGAGAGGACCUGAGAUUGAUUGGGGGAAAGGGGGUCUGUGGAGGUCGAUGAAGGGUGGAUGUGAGAUGGAAAGAGAGGGUUGCUAGGGCGGGGAAAUUUUG
Molecule: long non-coding RNA, 1329 nt
Filed under: Prunus dulcis (almond)
Lineage: Eukaryota; Viridiplantae; Streptophyta; Magnoliopsida; Rosales; Rosaceae
Description: sRNA ncRNA
Source: RNAcentral